Molecule: small RNA, 246 nt
Filed under: Jaculus jaculus (lesser Egyptian jerboa)
Lineage: Eukaryota; Metazoa; Chordata; Mammalia; Rodentia; Dipodidae
Source: RNAcentral
ACCAGGUGUGGUGGCGCACGCCUUUAAUCCCAGCACUCGGGAGGCAGAGGUAGGAGCUUCACCAUGAGUUCAAGGCCAGCUUGAGACUACAUAGUGAAUUCCAGGUCAGUCUGAGCUGGAGUGAGACCCUACCUCAGAAAAAUAAAUAAAUAAAUAAAGAUAGAGUCUCACUCUAGCCCAGGCUGACCUGGAAUUCACUAUGUAGUCUCAGGGUGGCCUUGAACUCAUGGCGGUUCUCCUACCUCU